RNAcentral lists this unclassified non-coding RNA (847 nucleotides) under Hevea brasiliensis (rubber tree). The record is from RNAcentral. Lineage: Eukaryota; Viridiplantae; Streptophyta; Magnoliopsida; Malpighiales; Euphorbiaceae.
GGGAGAUUCGAGUUUUCCCUAUCGAAGCUCGGGAAGAUGCAGAUGCCCCAGUUUCUGAAGUAGGCCUCCUUGCAAUUUCUGAGGGUUGCAGGAAACUCAAGUCCAUCUUAUAUUUCUGCCAAAAAAUGACAAAUGCAGCUGUUAUAGCUAUGUCAAAGAACUGCCCGGACCUUGUGGUAUUCCGGCUAUGCAUUAUGGGUCGGCACUUGCCUGACCAUGUUACAAAUGAACCGAUGGAUGAAGGCUUUGGGGCUAUUGUCAAGAACUGUAAGAAGCUUACUAGACUUGCUGUAUCUGGUUUACUGACUGAUAGGGCUUUCAGUUACAUUGGACAAUAUGGAAAACUAGUCCGAACCUUAUCAGUUGCUUUUGCCGGAAACAGUGACUUGGCUCUGAAGUAUGUGCUCGAGGGCUGCCCUAAGUUGCAGAAGUUAGAGAUCAGGGAUUGCCCGUUUGGAGAUUUGUCUUUGCGUUCUGGUUUACACCACUAUUACAACAUGAGGUUCCUUUGGCUAUCAUCUUGUAGAGUAACUCUACAAGGUUGUCAGGAGAUUGCUCGCCAAUUGCCCCGUCUAGUUGUGGAAGUCAUUAGUGGUGAUGAUGAGGAAGGGAGUGAGACUAAUGAGCAUGUCAAUACCUUGUACAUGUACCGAUCUCUUGAUGGACCGAGGGCUGAUGUACCCUCAUUUGUCCAAAUACUGUGACCGACCUUUAUAGAAGAUAGGAACUUUCUGCAGUCAAUUGAUUGGUACCUUUGAGAAAUGAUUUAACUAUUUUCUUGGGAAGAGAUGCUCUCGGGAAAUCUGUUGCAAAUUUCCUUGUAGAGAAAACGAAUGGUGAUCCUCUU